RNAcentral lists this ribosomal RNA (253 nucleotides) under uncultured bacterium. Its description in RNAcentral is "partial 16S ribosomal RNA". It matches the Rfam family "Bacterial small subunit ribosomal RNA", at positions 524 to 776 of the family's 1533-position model. The record is from RNAcentral.
UACGUAGGGCGCGAGCGUUGUCCGGAUUUAUUGGGCGUAAAGAGCUCGUAGGCGGUUUGUCGCGUUGUUCGUGAAAACUCACAGCUUAACUGUGGGCGUGCGGGCGAUACGGGCAGACUGGAGUACUGCAGGGGAGACUGGAAUUCCUGGUGUAGCGGUGGAAUGCGCAGAUAUCAGGAGGAACACCGGUGGCAAAGGCGGGUCUCUGGGCAGUAACUGACGCUGAGGAGCGAAAGCGUGGGGAGCGAACAGG